GUGUCAGCAGCCGCGGUAAGACGAACCGUGCGAACGUUGUUCGGAUUCACUGGGCUUAAAGGGCGCGUAGGCGGGCGGGCAAGUCCGGGGUGAAAGCGUAUGGCUCAACCAUACAAGGGCCCUGGAUACUGCCGGCCUCGAGGGAGGUAGGGGCGCGCGGAACUUCCGGUGGAGCGGUGAAAUGCGUAGAUAUCGGAAGGAACACCGGUGGCGAAAGCGGCGCGCUGGGCCUCUUCUGACGCUGAGGCGCGAAAGCCAGGGGAGCAAACGGGAUUAGAUACCCCCGUAGUCC
Molecule: ribosomal RNA, 292 nt
Filed under: uncultured bacterium
Lineage: Bacteria
Description: partial 16S ribosomal RNA
Rfam family: Bacterial small subunit ribosomal RNA
Source: RNAcentral